RNAcentral lists this ribosomal RNA (268 nucleotides) under uncultured bacterium. RNAcentral's name for it is "partial 16S ribosomal RNA". It matches the Rfam family "Bacterial small subunit ribosomal RNA", at positions 46 to 339 of the family's 1533-position model. The record is from RNAcentral.
GGCCUAACACAUGCAAGUCGAGCGCUGUAGCAAUACAGAGCGGCGCACGGGUGAGUAACACGUGGGAACGUGUCCAACGGUUCGGAAUAACUACGGGAAACUGUAGCUAAUACCGCAUACGCCCUACGGGGGAAAGGCUUCGGCCGCAUUUGGAUGAGCCCGCGUAAGAUUAGCUAGUUGGUGGGGUAAUGGCCUACCAAGGCUACGAUCUUUAACUGGUCUGAGAGGACGAUCAGUCACACUGGAACUGAGACACGGUCCAGACUCC